RNAcentral lists this long non-coding RNA (392 nucleotides) under Panax ginseng (ginseng). RNAcentral describes it as "long non-coding RNA (PGIN_LNC011990)". Lineage: Eukaryota; Viridiplantae; Streptophyta; Magnoliopsida; Apiales; Araliaceae. The record is from RNAcentral.
ACCAUUUAAAAAAUUAUAGUAAUAGUGCAAUAAUAUAUAAUAAUAUCAAUAGUAGUGCAAAUCUACAUCACAGAAACCAAAACAACUGAAAUACAAUCACCUUAAAUCUAGGAGAAAACUACUCCACUAUAUACGUCAGUUACCAACUAAAAAAAACAUUCCAAAAUCACGAAAAAAAAACCGAAUGAUCCAGAACAAAUCCGAAAGCUUCUACAGAUAUUCAUCGUCUUCAACCAAUUGAUCAUCUUCAAGAAAGGAUCAAUCGAAAAGAAGCAAAAGCAUUCAUACUAGAGAGGCCUAAUUCAAAAGCACAUAAAAUCGAAAACAGAGUAUCAGAAAUCGACAUGCACAAGCCGAUCACAGGAUUCCGAAACUGAAAGAACAGAUAUAAA